RNAcentral lists this long non-coding RNA (4355 nucleotides) under Capsicum annuum. Its description in RNAcentral is "long non-coding RNA (CANN_LNC009438)". Lineage: Eukaryota; Viridiplantae; Streptophyta; Magnoliopsida; Solanales; Solanaceae. The record is from RNAcentral.
UCUUGUCUAUUUGGCAAGACUGACUUCAUUUUUCAAACUUACCUACCAAUAAAACCAAACACCCUAGCUCAAUAAAACAGUAUAGACCAAUAUCCUGUUGUACUACCAUAUACAAGAUCAUAUCCAAAAUGCUCACCACAAGGCUUCAACCUCUCAUGGAUCAUCUUGUAGACAUUAGUCAAGCUGCUUUUUCCCUGGUAGGGUUCUAAAUGAUAAUAUUUUACUUGGUCAUGAACUAGUUAAAGGAUAUGGGAGAAAGGGUAUCUCGCCUAGGUGUAUGAUUAAAAUUGACAUGCAAAAAACACAUGACUCAAUUGAAUGGCCCUUCCUUGAGGAGGUUUUACUGGGUAUGAAUUUAUGAAUUUCCCUGGGCAAUUUGUACAGUGGAUAAUGAGUUGUGUUAUAACAGUGUCCUACUUUAUAAAUAUAAAUGGUGUUCCUAGCACACCUUUUGCUGCAAAGAAAGGGGUAAGACAAGGUGACCCCCUGUCACCUUACCUGUUUGUCUUGAGUAUGGAGUAGUACCUAACCAGACUGUUGAAAAGAUUAGGACAAAAUCUAGACUUCAACUUCCACCCACGAUGCCAAAAAUUGAAUAUUAUUCAACUCAGUUUUGCAGAUGAUUUACUACUGUUUUGCAGAGGUGAUAUAGUUUCUGCUACCUUGCUUAACAAUUGUUUUCAAGAAUUCUCUGCAGCUUCAAGCCUUAUAGCCAACCAAUCAAAGAGUAGCAUAUAUUUUGGGGGUGUAAAUGAGAGUACACAGCAGUUCAUAUUACAACAACUGGGGUUUACUACUGGACAACUCCCCUUCAGAUACCUAGGAGUGCCUUUGAGCACCAAAAAGUUAUCAGUGGCCCAAUGCCAGCCUCUAAUUGAUAAGAUGGUUGGAAGAAUUACAAACUGGACAACUAAAUUUCUCUCAUAUGCUAGUAGAUUACAACUAAUUCACAGUGUGCUUGUUGGUAUACAAGACUUCUGGUCUCAAGUUUUUCCAAUACCAAAAACAAUUCUAAAAAAGGUAGAAACUAUGUGCAAAAGAUUCUUGUGGAAUGGACAUAUCCAACAUCGAGGCAAGGCACUAAUAGCAUGGGACAAGAUGUACUUCCCAAAUCAGCUGGAGGGCUUAAUAUUAUUGACAUGUAUAUAUGGAAUAGAGCUGCUAUCCUCAAACAUUUAUGGAACUUGAAUCAGAAAAAGGAUAAAUUAUGGAUCCUGUGGGUACAUGCAUAUUAUUUGAAGGGAAGGAAGCCUUGGAGCACAUGGACCAAACAAGCGUCAUGGAUUAUUCAGAAAAUCUUACAAGUUGGUAAAUGAAUUGAUGCAGCUGGUUUAAGUAUAGAAGAAGUUAUGGCGCAGAACUCAUUCUCCAUCAAGAAAAUAUACCAACAGCUUAGAGGCCAAUUCUCUAAAGUGGACCGGAGGAAACUAUACUGUAACAAUCAAGGGCACCCAAAAUGGAGGUUUAUCAUGUUUAUAGCACUUAAUCAAAGAUUAUAUACUAAAGAUCAACUAGAUAAAUGGAGCAUCCACACCAGUCUAACAUGUGCAUUAUGUGACGAGGAAAUGGAAGACCACCAGCACCUGUUCUUUAAAUGCUUAACUUCAGGGGAUAUAUGGCAAAGAAUACUCAACUGGCAAGGUGUUACAAGGGGGAGUAUGAGAUGGAGAGAAGAGGUACAAUGGGCCAAUCUGCAUGCAAAGGGGAUACUAGCAAAAACAGCAGUCUUCAGAAUGAGCCUAACCGCCACUGUAUAUCAUAUUUGGAUGGAGAGGAACCACCGAAUACUCCAGCAACGAAAGCAGCAAAGAGAAGCAAUCAGUAGACAGAUCAUCCAAGACCUUCACUGCAGGGCUAGCAUGUUUCCUAGAUUAGCUGGGUAUAUGCUUAAUCUGAACUUCUAUAGAUGAGAAAUAUGGAGUAUGUUCCUAGUUAGUUAUUUUGUAAUUACUUGAAGUUGGGACGUGUCCAACUCAGGCCAAAAACAUCUGCUCACAUCGACAUAUCGGGUAAUAAAAUUCCGGUUACCAAAAAAAAAUAUUACUAAUAACAUAGCAGAUUACAUAGUUUUUGCUAAACAAUUUGAGCACUAAAAAUUGAUAAUAAUAUCUUUGGUGGUAGGAUUUUCGUGAAACAAGUUUUUUGGUUCAAUUAUUUCAUGCAGUAUGAAGAACUACUGUUAUAUAUUUCGUUUAAAUUUUUUAUUUAUUUUGAGUACAUAUCACCUGAUUUUUAAAAAGAAAAUCUCCCAAGGGAUUGUUUGUUCAUUAUUACAAUUAAGUACAAAUUUUCCUUGAAAACUUUCAGAAAGAUUAGAAUUUCUUGGCAACUUUUGGACAUUAUUCAAGACACAAGACAGCUGACAACCCAAAUGGCCAAUGGUGCAUAAGACUGCUUUAGUGAAAGAAAUCAAAUUUUAUUUGCCCUUUCUUAAUAGAGUGGAACAGGGGAUGACAAAACUUUUCUCAAUGUCAAUGAGCUCCCAUGAGAAGCUCAUGGUCCAUAAAAGCUAGAUGUGAUUCAAAUGCUCUCUCUCAGAUACAAGGUUCUUAAUAAUUUUUAUAAUAGCUCUUUUUUAUUUGAUGUUUCACGAGGUUGGCUUUUGUCCUUUCAAAGUGUUUGUACUUUGUAGUUACAUUUUUAUUUUUUUGCUUUAUAUUGUGGUAUCAGGUAUGUGUGAUUGUAUAAUGGAUCGCUGUAUCUAUUAUGUCGAAGUUAAGUUUUAUUCUCCCCCUUGAUGUAAUUUGUUGAUAUGUUACAUAUCUAUCUACAUAUUAGGGAUCAUCGUCAAACACACUUGCACCACAAGUUUAUAUAGCCUUGGUCAUGAUUUCUCGAUGAAAAGGAAAUUUAUAGAAAUACAAUAUUGGUCUAUUUGUUGUGAAACCAUUUCAUAUUAUUACCAUUACUAAUUAGAAAGAAUAACCUAACUCUAUUGAUCCAUAUACCUUUCAAAAGGUGAUUAUGUACACACAACAGUGAUUAAAUGUUUUUUGUGUCUAUAAUGUUGUCUGUUUUUUUGAAAGACAUCCACCCAAGCUGUCACCUGCCGUGGUGGUGGGAGGCUUGGCGGACCUCUAUCAUGUAUAUUGUCAAAAAUAAUUACAAGAAGGAAGACAUAAACCAAACCUCUAGAAAGUACUUGUAGUAGCAACAAAAAAUAAGCUUCCAAAUUUCUAACAACAAACUUUGAACUAUAGGGAAGAUGAUGAUGAUAUUUUCUGCUAAGCUUAAUGAUCACCUUGAAGCAGUGGUCUCUAAGAUGUCUAUAAGCAUAACCUUAAGUAAUUAUACUUUUGCUAGACGGAACUGAAGGAAGUCUCCAGCUUAUAAGAUAGUACAAUUUUGUUCAAGGUGUUCAAUUGUCAAUCUUUAUCGCUUAUAUUCGGAAUGAAGGCACAUAAAGUCUGUCUAUUGUAAUAUUACCUCUCGCGUCACAUGGAAGUUCAACUUCAUUGUAGUAAAAUUCCUUGCUAUCCAGAGAGGUAGCUAAGAUGUCUACUACUUGAUUCCCUUCUCCGUAACAGAGUUGCACUUGGAUGCUCCUUUCCUGAACUAUACAUAAAAGAUCAUGUUAACCAAAAGUAAGGAGUCCAUUUCAAGAAUAUUGUGCAAUAACUGUAAGCAGCACCAUGAAAUACCAGAGCAGCCCGAGUUUCUAAGUAAUUGUUAGUACAGAACUGGAUAGGGGCAACAAAGACCAUAAUCAUCUGUCCAUUUCUUUUCCGCACAAUACCACCAGCUCCCGCUUUGCCAAUGACCUUAAUGAAACUACCAUUAGUAUUCAACUCUAAUCCCAUUCCAUAAUAGCAAAAGGUCUAUCCAUUUAACACUCAUGUAAUGUACUCUUGGUGUAUAAGUUUCCACAAUAGUACAAACCUUAGACCAACUAUAAUCCCAUUCCAUGUUGCAAAAGUUAUUACCAAUGGCAAUCUAGACUUGGAUCACAAUUUAUUGGCAGAUUCUAGAGAAAUUAAAGUAUUUGUCGACAUAUUUCUUACCACAUCUGGCUUUCCAGAUUUCCCAACAGGCAAUUAUAGAAAUGAUGUGCAAGAAAAGCUUGUGUGCAUCGUCUUUUGCAGGGGUGUUCCAUCACAAAAUGCCUGAAUAGCAGUAGCCCCAGCAUUUAAGUCCAAAGGAAUGGGGAAAAAAAUUCUCAACUCUGGUAGCCAAAUCAUAAGAAACAAAGAGAUGGUUUAGAAUUUUACUUUUAUCCACCCUGCAACAUGAGCAUCUGAAAGUAAAUUGGAGAUUAGGCAUGUGGACAAUGUCACUUAUGGGAAGUUUCUUUUGAGCAUUAUCCAUCACUGGGAAGAAAUCUUGGAAUUAUUUCUUGCAUCAGACCUAGACCUUGG